CAAGACCUUGCGCUUUUGGAGCGGCCGAUGUCUGAUUAGCUAGUUGGUGAGGUAAAGGCUUACCAAGGCGUCGAUCAGUAGCUGGUCUGAGAGGACGACCAACCACACUAGGACUGAGACACGGCCCAGACUCCUACGGGAGGCAGCAGUGAGGAAUUUUGGACAAUGGGGGAAAUCCUGAUCCAGCCAUGCCGCGUGAGUGAAGAAGGCCUUCGGGUUGUAAAGCUCUUUCAGCCGGAACGAAACGGUCACAGCUAAUAUCUGUGACUACUGACGGUAACGGAAGAAGAAGCACCGGCUAACUACGUACCAGCAGCCGCGCUAAUACGUAGGGUGCGAGCGUUAAUCGGAAUUACUGGGCGUAAAGCGUGCGCAGGCGGUUUUGUAAGUCAGAUGUGAAAUCCCCGGGCUUAACCUGGGAACU
This 424-nucleotide ribosomal RNA is filed under the name uncultured Nitrosospira sp. RNAcentral's name for it is "bacterial SSU rRNA". It matches the Rfam family "Bacterial small subunit ribosomal RNA", at positions 207 to 622 of the family's 1533-position model. The record is from RNAcentral. Lineage: Bacteria; Pseudomonadati; Pseudomonadota; Betaproteobacteria; Nitrosomonadales; Nitrosomonadaceae.